GCCCGAGUGUCGAAACUGGUAGACGAUCACGACUCAAAAUCGUGCGGCCUCACGGCCAUGAGGGUUCGACUCCCUCCUCGGGCA
This 84-nucleotide transfer RNA is filed under the name bacterium. RNAcentral's name for it is "tRNA-Leu". It matches the Rfam family "tRNA". From Rfam's summary of the family: Transfer RNA (tRNA) molecules are approximately 80 nucleotides in length. The record is from RNAcentral.